RNAcentral lists this ribosomal RNA (400 nucleotides) under uncultured bacterium. RNAcentral's name for it is "bacterial SSU rRNA". It matches the Rfam family "Bacterial small subunit ribosomal RNA", at positions 355 to 774 of the family's 1533-position model. The record is from RNAcentral.
UCGGGAAUCUUCCACAAUGGGCGAAAGCCUGAUGGAGCGACGCCGCGUGAGGGAUGAAGGCCUUAGGGUUGUAAACCUCUAAAAGAGGGACGAUAAUGACGGUACCUCUUGAAUAGCACCGGCUAACUCCGUGCCAGCAGCCGCGGUAAUACGGAGGGUGCAAGCGUUAUCCGGAAUCACUGGGCGUAAAGGGCGCGUAGGCGGUCUGUUAAGUCCGAUGUUAAAUCCCGGGGCUCAACCCCGGAUAAGCGUUGGAUACUGGCAGGCUAGACGGUUGGAGAGGCGAGUGGAAUUACCAGUGUAGCGGUGGAAUGCGUAGAUACUGGUAGGAACACCCAUUGCGAAGGCAGCUCGCUGGACAACACGUGACGCUGAGGCGCGAAAGUGUGGGGAGCAAACC